RNAcentral lists this ribosomal RNA (420 nucleotides) under uncultured bacterium. Its description in RNAcentral is "bacterial SSU rRNA". It matches the Rfam family "Bacterial small subunit ribosomal RNA", at positions 148 to 566 of the family's 1533-position model. The record is from RNAcentral.
CCAGAGAAAUUUGGAUUAAUACCUCAUAGUAUAACGACUCGGCAUCCAGAUGUUAUUAAAGUCACAACGGUGAAAGAUGAGCAUGCGUCCCAUUAGCUAGUUGGUAAGGUAACGGCUUACCAAGGCUACGAUGGGUAGGGGUCCUGAGAGGGAGAUCCCCCACACUGGUACUGAGACACGGACCAGACUCAUACGGGAGGCAGCAGUGGGGAAUAUUGGUCAAUGGACGCAAGUCUGAACCAGCCAUGCCGCGUGCAGGAUGACGGUCCUAUGGAUUGUAAACUGCUUUUGUACAGGAAGAAACAGUUCUACGUGUAGAACCUUGACGGUACUGAAAGAAUAAGGAUCGGCUAACUCCGUGCCAGCAGCCGCGGUAAUACGGAGGAUCCAACCGUUAUCCGGAAUCAUUGGGUUUAAAGG